RNAcentral lists this transfer RNA (66 nucleotides) under Mesocricetus auratus (golden hamster). Lineage: Eukaryota; Metazoa; Chordata; Mammalia; Rodentia; Cricetidae. The record is from Rfam by way of RNAcentral.
GGAUGGCUCAGUGGUUAAGAGCACUGCUGCUCUUCCAGAGGACCUGGGUUUAAUUCCCAGGAUCCA